RNAcentral lists this ribosomal RNA (429 nucleotides) under bacterium. RNAcentral describes it as "partial 16S ribosomal RNA". It matches the Rfam family "Bacterial small subunit ribosomal RNA", at positions 355 to 776 of the family's 1533-position model. The record is from RNAcentral.
UAGGGAAUCUUCCACAAUGGAUGCAAGUCUGAUGGAGCAACGCCGCGUGAGUGAAGAAGGUUUUCGGAUCGUAAAGCUCUGUUGUUGGUGAAGAAGGAUAGAGGUAGUAACUGGCCUUUAUUUGACGGUAAUCAACCAGAAAGUCACGGCUAACUACGUGCCAGCAGCCGCGGUAAUACGUAGGUGGCAAGCGUUGUCCGGAUUUAUUGGGCGUAAAGCGAGCGCAGGCGGAAGAAUAAGUCUGAUGUGAAAGCCCUCGGCUUAACCGAGGAACUGCAUCGGAAACUGUUUUUCUUGAGUGCAGAAGAGGAGAGUGGAAUUCCAUGUGUAGCGGUGGAAUGCGUAGAUAUAUGGAAGAACACCAGUGGCGAAGGCGACUCUCUGGUCUGCAACUGACGCUGAGGCUCGAAAGCAUGGGUAGCGAACAGG